UUUAUUUACAGUUAGGUGUAGGGGGGUUCUUGAUCCGUGUUUGGCUGGAUUGGACCAAAGAGAGUGCUGCAAAAAAUUAGUGGUGUCCUAUCUUGGUUGAUUGCCUAACGAUGUUGAUUGGCUAAUUGGGUUGCUGUGAUUUCGAUCCUGUCUUAGUGGAGAAAAAAACUAAACAAAAACAAAAACAAAAAAAACAAACAAACAACUAAUGUGUCGUUAGCGGGUGGUGUAUGCCAGUUGUCAAUCACGAGCUUCAGAACAUGAACAUAUUUACAGUAGAAUAAUAUGGUUAUUGUGGUUGGGUCUGGAUGGCAUUGGCAUAUUUAGUGGUUAUUAAUCACUCGCUACCGUCCCACCGUUAAUCCCCAGGGCCCCGUUCCACAAAGCGACCUUAGCACUACUAUCGUCGUAAGUACCUACUAUCGCGACCAUAACUUUUUCCUACGAUGGCCUACACGUUCCACGAAGCGGCAUAGCUUACUAUCGUCGUAAUUUACGGUGAAAAUUAACAAUAGGUCAGGAGCAACCUUAGUUGCUACUAUCGCGACCGUAAACUGAACGCUGCAAAACUAAAAUGGCUACGUUUUUUCUAUUGACGGAAGAAACAGAAAAAGUGUAUAAAAAGGAACGUGUUUUUAGGGAUAGGACAAGGUUACUGGACACUCUUUCCGAUAAUGAACUGAUUGCUAGAUACAGAAUGCCUCGUAUUGCUAUUUUGUCGCUGACUGACAUGGUGAGGGAAAGCUUACAGUCGGCGACUCGGCGUUCACAUCCCGUAUCACCGGAGAUUCAUGUAUUAAUAACAUUGCGUUAUUUGAGUAAGGGUGGUUUUUUUUCGGAAAUUGCGGAUCUGCAUGGAGUGGCACGGCCAAGUGUUUGUCGAUGUUUGCACCGUACUGUCCGUCGCAUUUGCGACACAUUAGAUAAUAUUAACUUUAACAUCCAUGAACUACGUGAAAUCAAACAUGGCUUUUAUCAAAUCUGUCGGUUCCCUAGGGUAAUUGGAGCUAUUGAUGGGACAUUAAUUGCCAUAAAAAGGCCAACACAUGACGAGGAAGUGUAUGUUUGUAGGAAAGGGUUUCAUGCAAUGAACGUUCAAGCAAUCUGUGACUGCAAACUGCGGUUAGUUAUUGAUACAAAGAAAUAAUAAUUUAAAAAGAUUAAAGUAACAUUACCGUUAGAUAUAUCCAAAUUUUUUCGUUGAAAAUGUAUCAUUAUUAUAUUAUUCAAAGAUCACAUCAUUAAAAAUGUAUUUUAUUUUUUAAACAUUCUUUUAGAUUCAUUAAUGUUGUUGCAAGAUGGCCUGGAUCGUCACAUGACUCCACAAUACUAUCAAACAGUGAACUUGGGAGGGAGCUGGAGACUGAUAUCCUUGCAAACCCUGGCUGAUGACUCCAUUACCAGAAACACCAUCAAGAGCUGAGGAAAAGUACAACAGCUCACACUGCAGGACACGGAAUACUGUGGAAAGAGCAUUUGGUUUACUGAAGUCGAGAUUUAGGUGAAGAUUCAUCGACAGGUGCAAGCGAAGACGUAUUGCUGGAUGCGAUGACAUCAUCUGCUGAUACUGAUAUGCUCAAGUUGUUGUCUAAGAAUUGAAUGAAAUGUAUUAAAAUGCAUGUUGAUUUCAAAUAACAUCGGUCUAACUUGAACAUCAGUUUUCUACAAGAAAUGUUUAGAAACUUGUUCCCACUAUUGUAUCUAAAGGAAACUGAAAGUGUUUGAAAAAUUAACUUAACAUAUACAUUCAUUUUUCUCUAAAGAGACAUACAUUUAAAUUGUCAGUCAAGAUAAUGCAUGUUGUCUUUUGUAUUACAGUUACAAAGUGAAAAGGCAAGACAUAUAGACAGGCAUUUUACCAGAAACUAAUUUUGAGAGAGAUAUGGAUACAUAUAUUCAUGAGAGAGAGAGAGAGAGAGAGAGAGAGAGAGAGAGAGAGAGAGAGAGAGAGAGAGAGAGAGAGAGAGAGAGAGAGACCUAACUAGUGUUUCAAAAAAUACAUUAAUUUCUUUCAUGUACUUCUGCAUAUUUACAUAUGCAGACUUUCUGCCAUAAAAUAAUUGGAGGUACAUAAUAAUAAUGAAAAUAAGUGGCCCAUGGGUUUUAAAUGUUUUGAAUUGGACACUGCUUUGAUUAAUUUUAACCAGCAGUUCUCUUACUAUCGUCUACAUCUGAAAUGUAUGAAAUAUAUCCAUUAAUUUAAAGAUUUUAGGGUACAUAAUUUUAUCCUCUGUACACUCUUGCAGAAACCCUGAUAUGUCCACAAUUCUGUUCUUUAAUUAAUAUAUUAUAAAUGUUUUCUUUCUUUUUCAAUUAACAUUACCAUCAACUAGUGCUGUGUCUGCACCACAUUCUAUUCCCUCCAUCUGAACAACUGGAAUCAAUGACAAGAUAUUGUAUGUGCUUGUAUAAUUAAUGUAUGAAAUGAAUAAAUGUUGGAUCGUACGUGGGUGGGUGUAUACAUAUAAUAACUAAUUUUAUUUCCAUUGUUUGUUAUUGUGUAUUGAAAUGUUUAGUGUUAUUGUAUCACUGUGUAGCUGAAAGUUACUGAUGUAUUUGUUUAAAAGCUAAUUAUAGUUUACCUGGUCUUCAAUGGCAUUGAGAUUGGGUGGUGCAGACCCUCCCCCUGUCAUUGUUGACUCUCUUCUCCAAGUGGUGGCUUUCUUCCGUAUCUGACAUCUGCAAUGUUCAUACAUUAAUUACAAUUUCUAUGUUUCAAUAACUGCACUUUAAUUUGUUCUUUUGAGUGGGUUUUUAAAAAUAAAAUUGUUAUGUGCCAAUAAAUACUGAAAUGAAAUUGAAUUGCAUGCAUUUUUGUUCAUUUGUCAUUACAAUGCAAUAACAAAAUUGAACAUAUUAAAUAAAAUUUGACAUUUAAAAUUAA
This is a long non-coding RNA of Gigantopelta aegis, 2884 nucleotides long. RefSeq lists it as uncharacterized. The transcript has 3 exons. Lineage: Eukaryota; Metazoa; Mollusca; Gastropoda; Neomphalida; Peltospiridae. The record is from RefSeq and is a predicted model, not a curated record.